CCAUUUUCUGUAUACCACCCCUACCUUGUCACAACGCAACUGAUUGGCUCAAACGCAUUAAGGAGGAAAUAAAUUACACAAACUUAUCUUUAACAAGGCACACCUGUUAAUUGAAAUGCAUUCCAGGUGACGACCUCAUGAAGCUGGUUGAGAGAAUGCCAAGAGUGUGCAAAGCUGUCAAGGUGGCUACUUUAAAGAAUCUCAAAUAUAUUUUGAUUUGUGUAACACUUAUCUAUCAUCGUCAUAAGGGUUAGGCUUCAGGCUUAGGCUACAUUACUUAUCAACAGCAGCAGGCUUAGCUAUUAUUUUUAGGAAACAUGACAUUUCACAGAUAAACAGACACCUAAUGAGAUACCUAGCUAUUUAGUUAUCUAGCUAAUUAUAGCUAUUGGGAUCAUAGCUAGCUACAUUUUGCUGGUAAAAUAGAGCAAUCCUACAGCAGCAUUAUCUGGCUGGCUAGCUACAUAUCGAAUCACUAGCCAGUUCGUUUUAGCCCAAUGACAAAUGCUUUUCAAUUUUAUGUUGUACAGCUUUCAAAGAAAACAUAAAGACAAGAGAAGAGCUAAAUCAAGCAGGCUAGCUAACUACCUUGUCUCAUUUUGGCUAAACCAAUUUCUGGUGUUCUAUUCAUAUGUAGUUCUAAUAACCAAUUUCUAUGUUCUUGCAAGUGGCUGACUGUACAAAUCACACCUAUCAGGAGCUGCAAUUUGGCAGGACGCCCAGAUGUUGUUUUGAGAACAAACGACCGUGUUUUGAGAACAAUCAAAAGAUCUCAGUUUCAAGGUCUCAGCUUAGAAAGGAGAAGCCGUGAGGUGUUGGUCUGUCACAUGUUAUGAAACAACACGGUAAUGAUACAUUAAUUAUGCUAAAUCAUGCAAAUACAACUUCUGUGUAUAACCGUAUAUAAGACAACUGCUGGGACUGUCCCAGGGGAGCUUCUGACAGACAUGUGUACUAUGGUGCAUUGAGUUGGUUGGAACCUCUCCAGCGCACUGACAAUAAACAAUGAUUCAUUUAAGAUUGACUUCGAGUGUCCCUGUGUAAGAAUAUUUCUGCCUGCGGAGCUUUCCAGUUGGGGUCUGCGAGGAAAACCGGAGGCGCAUUUUAUGAAGCGUGAGGGAAAUUCCUGUCCGACCAAAAGAGGACGAGGACCAGUCCAGAUCCUUACUGUGAGCUGCCCAGGAGGAGACACAUCACCCACGAACAAUUGAGGGACGGCAACUGAUUUCACAAAUCUCACCAGAUUGGGUCUGCUGGAUGGUGGAGUUUUCUCCCUGAGGAUUAGCCCUCUGACUCCUUGACCUGUAACUCUUCAUUGAGAUCGCCGAGAUGAUAGGGGAGUAUAAGCCAAUUUGGGGGGGGAUGGUUUCAACUGUGUGGUGUUAUUCUCUAAGACAUUUGUCUUAGAAGUCUGGAUUUCCUGAAUUACAAAUGCCCUAAACUAAACUGUUGUUCUGGUCUGGAGGUAAUGGCGGAGAUUGUAUCUAGAUGCAUGGAAAAUAAUUUGGCCGAUGAACAGUGUGAUCCUCAACACCCCCUUUAACCGGCUGAAAUUGGUGAAAAUGGUGUCCAGUAUGGUCCUUCACCACUUCUACCGUGAGACCUGAGUCCAAGCCAGCAACCUGUACACAGCAGUCGACGCGCUAUCAACUGCCUUUUCUCCCAUGUUUUUUCUCUCAGGAGCGACAUGUGGUGCACGUGAGCAUGGAGAGAGAUCCAGUCCAAACUUCUCUCAUGCUGCUGGUGUACUGGUAGGAAAAUGGACAAAGACAUAAUGAACUGUAAAGGACAGUGGCGGCUCAGGUGAGAGACACUAUCAAGGGCCAUCCACUUUGAACAUGUGCCAUUAAAAAGACAAACUGAAACACUAUCUGAAGAAGAACAUGAAGAAACGUCAGGAAAGGAAGAAUGAGUGCCCGUAAUUGAUUUAUAGGCUUGUCCAAAAUGGUUUAUUUGGGGUAUUGGGUGGAUUGUGGAGGUUUGCACACUGCAAAAUGUUGUGAUUUAGACUAACAAUGCAUUGAAAUACCAAUCUGUCAUUACCACGAGUGAUGAGAAAAGUGAGGGUCUUAAAUUAAAGUGACAGAACCAACGUGACGCACUAAAGACUGUCAUUCUAAAUUUGGGUUGGAUAAUAUAUCAAUAAUUAUGAUUCUGAUUUGGAAAGGCAAAACUUCUAGAGACAGAACUGUGCCCUAAAAACGUGAGGAGAGACACUAGAUUGUUACAAGGUUAGCCCAAGCUACAAUCUCAUUCUUAGCAAGGUUGGUGUGAAACUGUUAUAAUGUGAUCUCUUUCUCUUCCCUGUGAAAUGUUAUUAACAUGCGAUGUGCCUCUCUGGCUGAUAAGAUUUCAGCAGCCAUCUUGUUUACUACUCCUCCAGAGGAUGGUGAAACAGUUAGAUGCCAACUCUGGAUGAGCCCCCCCAUUUCCUCCGGUUCUUUUCCUUUUAGCAAGUUGAGAGUAAGGUCAUCUAAACCCUUAACCUAUGUGGACACCACACUAUGUGGAACACUGAGAUGAUGAGCAAGUUAAACAACUGGGUUUUAUGUUUUGACUAGGUGGAUGUCCCAGGGACAGUUAGUGAAAACAUAGGUCAAUGCAACCCAAGUGUGGAAAGAAAUAUGGAAACAAUGGUUAACAUCAAGAUAUUUAUUCACCUCUGAAUCUACAGAUCCGUUGUGUAUUUUGGAUACUCACUCCCAUUAAUAAAGUAUAACCUUUAUUAUGAUUAUAGUAUUACCAUACUAAGUGGAUUGUACAACGCAGAAUGAAGGGUUUGAAAUGAUGAAGUGUCCGUUUUGUUUUUGUGUUGAUUUCCCUUACUUUCAUGGAGUAUAGAAUAUUUUGAUAUAGAAGCUAAAAUGUAAAUGCUUACAUUAAAAUUGAAUGGUUAUCACACAAGAGGUAAGAUAAGAGGAUAAGAGGAUGGAAUGUAAUGGCAAUUUUAAUGUUUGCUUUUCUUACAACCAAUUUCUGUGUUCUAUUCAUGUGCUGUUCUCAUAACAAUUUUCUGUGUUCUUGCAAGUGGCUGACUGACAAAUCACACCUAUCAGUAGCUGCAAUUUGGCAGUACGCCCAAAUGUUAUUUUGAGAUCAAUCAACCGUGUUUUGAGAACAAAUGAAAGAUAUCUCAGUUUCAAGAUCUCAGCUUAGAGUGGAGAAGCCUCGUGAGGUGUUGGUCUGUCACAUGUUAUGAAACAGUAUUGGUCGGUCACAUGAAUGAAACAACAUGGUAAUGAUUAAUUGAUUAUGCUAAAUCAUGCAAAUAUAACUUGUCUGUGUAGCCGUACAGAAAACUGCUGGGACUGUCCCAGGGGAGCUUCUGACAGACGUGUACUAUGGUGCAUUGAGUUGGUUGGAACCUUUCCAGAAACGCUGACAAUAAACAAUGAUUCAUUUAAGAUUGA
This is a long non-coding RNA of Oncorhynchus tshawytscha (Chinook salmon), 3410 nucleotides long. RefSeq lists it as uncharacterized. The transcript is spliced from 2 exons. Lineage: Eukaryota; Metazoa; Chordata; Actinopteri; Salmoniformes; Salmonidae. The record is from RefSeq and is a predicted model, not a curated record.